Molecule: long non-coding RNA, 804 nt
Organism: Saccostrea cuccullata (small rock oyster)
Lineage: Eukaryota; Metazoa; Mollusca; Bivalvia; Ostreida; Ostreidae
Exons: 2
Source: RefSeq, a predicted model, not a curated record
GCUGUCUAAAUUCAACUGAGUGUAACAAUGAUAUAAAUAUAUUUCUGUUGACUUGUUUAACAUUAGGAUGUGUUUAUUGUGGACACCAAGAAAGCUGUCUUCGUCUGGAUUGGAUUGGAAACCUCUGUUGCUGAGAGAAAGAAUGCAAUGACUUAUGCCCAUAAAUAUCUACAGAAAACUGACCAUCCACUUCUGAGCGUCACGUGCUUGUCUGAGGGAAAACAUGACAGACAGAUCAGGAUGGCUCUCAGCGCCUAGUUACCCGAAGACAAAGGCCGAGGCUUAUCUAAUCCAUUGAUUAAUAUUUGACAAUGAGAGACGACAGUUUCUGAUUUGAAAGAAACUUUUAAUAUGUUGUUUUGAUAUCAGAUUUAAUCGUAGUUUAAAUGUUUUGACGUAGGUUUUAGCAAUACAUAGUUUUCUAUCCAAUGAGAUGGAUUUCUUAUCCAAAGAUAUAGCUAUAAUCGAGAUUUAGCAAUAUGUAAAGUAUUAUUAUGUAUGGAUUUAUGUUCGGGGUAAAAUUACCACUGAUUGUUGGAAAAACUCAUCUUUGUUUCUCUUUAUCACUUACCUUUUUUUCACUUUAUAUGCUUAAUUAAUAUAUUUUUCAUAUAUACAUGUACAUACAAUUAUCAAUGUUACUUAUAUAAAGGGUAGAUUAUAUGGGUUUGGGGUUUAUGAUUAUUUUUGGAAUUCUUUUUCAUUCCUUUCUUUUUUUUCUAGUUUUAUAGUGCUAUUUUCUUGUGCAAUAAUGCUGCAUAUCGCAGAUCAUCCUCAUAUAGAAAUAAAAGUUAUAGCAUUCGA